This 400-nucleotide ribosomal RNA is filed under the name uncultured bacterium. RNAcentral describes it as "bacterial SSU rRNA". It matches the Rfam family "Bacterial small subunit ribosomal RNA", at positions 355 to 771 of the family's 1533-position model. The record is from RNAcentral.
UAGGGAAUCUUGCGCAAUGGGCGAAAGCCUGACGCAGCAACGCCGCGUGGAGGACGAAGGCUCUCGGGUUGUAAACUCCUUUCGACUGGAACGAAAUUGACGGUACCAGUGGAAGAAGCCCCGGCUAACUACGUGCCAGCAGCCGCGGUAAUACGUAGGGGGCAAGCGUUGUCCGGAUUCAUUGGGCGUAAAGAGCUCGUAGGCGGUUCGGUAAGUCGGGUGUGAAAACUCUGGGCUUAACUCAGAGACUGCACUCGAUACUGCUGUGACUAGAGUCUGGUAGGGGACCAUGGAAUUCCUGGUGUAGCGGUGAAAUGCACAGAUAUCAGGAGGAACACCCGUGGCGAAGGCGGUGGUCUGGGCCAGAACUGACGCUGAGGAGCGAAAGCGUGGGGAGCAA